Molecule: long non-coding RNA, 21115 nt
Filed under: Amborella trichopoda
Lineage: Eukaryota; Viridiplantae; Streptophyta; Magnoliopsida; Amborellales; Amborellaceae
Description: long non-coding RNA (ATRI_LNC005018)
Source: RNAcentral
UGGAAAUUGCUUUAGGAACCUGAGCCUCCUAAAAGAAAACCUAAGUCUGAGAAAACCUAGACCUAGGGUACAACCACCCUAGAUCUACCCUUAGGGCACAACCACCCUUCUUCAACUAGAGACUUUCUGGUGAACAUCCCGAUCAGAGAAACAAAAGAGGACCGGUUCUGAUACAGGCGAGCCCUAGAAUGCACAGAAGUCUAGGGCCAUCCGGCCCUGUUCGGUAUGAUUUUCUUCCAUUUUAUCUAUUUUUCUUUAAUUUUUUUUAUUUCAUUUGAUCUUUUCAGUUGCUUAAAAAGCGUAUUUUGUGUUUUCUUGGAUCAUGUUGGCACUACCACAGAUUUGAGAAUAGAUCUGCUCGAUUUCGGGCAGAUCUGGCCUCAGAUCUGAAUUUGAUUUGUCUCACUUUCUUUGCCAUUUGGUUUACAUUAUUUUUAUCAGUUUAAGGUGUCAAGAUCCGAGAGAUCUUCCGACAAAGAUCUGUUUGAUUUUGCUUUGUAAACAAGCCUUACUCCAUAGGCUUAUGUGAAGCCCUUUCAACUAACCUAGCCAUGUGCCUUUCUAUGGUUCCAUCGAUAUUGUACUUAAUUUUAAAUACCCACUUGCAAACAACAUAUUUUUUUCCAUUAGGGAGUUGAACAAGAUCCCAAGUUUGAUUCGUGUUUAAGGCUUGUAAUUCUUCUUUCAUGGCCAUUUUUCACAACCGUUGUUAAUUAGCAUCAUGAAAGUUUGUUGGCUCAAAAGUGGAAAUAGAACUGAGAAAGUUGCAAUAUUUAGAUGAGAUAUUUCAUAACAAAUUUGAAGGAUGCAAACAACAUGAAAAGUAAUAAAAUCUUUUAAGGAAGAAGGGGGUUAAGAAAUACGAGAAGACCUUCGAAGAGCAGAAGCUUGAGCAGGGAGAUUGUCCACAUGGACAUCUUCUUGAGUAACCUCUUCAUUUUCACCAACCUGAUUAGCUUCUCCCUCACUUUCUUCUUAUUGGAUUUCCUCUCUUCUUUCGUCAGCAUAAUGGUUUUCAGUUCUAAUUUUUUCUUUAUUUUCUUGCGUCUCAAAAAUAUUACUAGGAAUGGGCAAUGGAAGUUUGCGUAAAUUCUCCCCUUGAAUCCUAUUUUAUUGGGAUUUUUGAAAAUAUGAUUCUCUUUCAUCAAAUUUAACAUCUCGUGAGAUGUGCAAUUUUUUGGUUGUAGGAUUGUAGCAUUUGUAUCACUUUUUUGUGGAAAAAGAUCCAAGAAAUAUGCACUCAGUAGCCCUAGGAUCAAGUUUAUCCCGGUGUUGAUCAAUAUUAUAUACAUAACAAAUGUAGCCAAACACACGUAAGUGAGACAAGUCAAUGUUAUUUCCUUUUAAUAACUUAAGAGGAGACUUAUUCCUGAGAAUUUUCCUAGGAAGUAGAUUAACAAGGUAACAAGCGGAUAGGACCGCAUCAGACCAAUAAAAUUUUAGUGCAUUCAUUUCAAAUAAUAGAGGUCUGGUAACUUCAAGAAUAUGAUGGUUUUUCCUUUCUGACACACCAUUUUGUUGUGGUGUUCCAAUGUAAGAUGUCUGAUGUAUAAUGCCAUUAUGAGAGAAAUAUUUUGUGAAUACAUUAUUCACAUACUCUGUUCCAUUGUCUGGGUGAAAAAUCCUAAUUUUGGCAUUAUACUGAUUUGAUACAAGAUUAUGAAAUUCUUUAAACAUAGGGAAAACCUCAUUUUUAGCUUUUAACAUAUAUAUCUAGGUGCCACGAGUAUAAUCAUCUGUAAAUGUCACAAAAUAUUUGUAGCCACUAUAGGAUUCAACAAGGGCUGGUCCCCACGCAUCAGAAUGUAUCAAGUAAAAAAGCUCAUCAUAAUCAUGUAUUGAAGAUUUAAAAAGUAACCUAGGAAACUUGGAAUAUUUGCAAACCUCACAAUUAUGAAAUCUUGGAGUUAAGUUUGACAUCAAAAUUUUCAAAACAUUUUUAGAGGGAUGUCCAACUCUAGAGGGAUGUCCAACUCUAGAGGGCCAUAAUCUACCAAUAUUACCAUUAUUAAUUUUUGCAAUCAUAGCAUAAUUCUUUUGAACCCAAAAGUAAAGACCAUGAUCCAUUUUCCCUUCACCAAUCUUCAUCCCUGUGGCCCGGUCUUGAAAGAUAGCAGAAUGAGGAGAAAAAAUAAUAUCACAAUUCAAAUUUUGAGUUAGUUUGCUAACCAACAAUAGGUUGAGAGGAAAAGAAGGCAAAUAAAGAACCUCAGAAUUGUGGGUUUCAGAAAAGAAAUUUGUUCUUCUAAUGCCAUGAAUAGGAAUUAAAGAACCAUUGACAAUUGAUACAGGAGUUUUAUUGACCACCUGUUGAAUCUGAGAUAGGUAAGAAGGAUUGCCUAUCAUGUGGUUGAUUUCUCUUGAAUCAAUAACCCAAGUAUUAAAACUCAAGGAAGACAGGAAGGUACACUGAUUACCUUGAUCAGAGGAGAUAUCAUGAGAAGAGAAUGCAUCAUUCUUAUCCAAUUGUUGAAGAAUUUGGGUAAGUUUAUCAAUGGAAAUAUGAGAAUUGGCAGAAGCACUCUGAGCCAACGACCUUCAGAAGACUUGUCACGUGUAGGUUUAAGAUGAGGAUAGAGGACUCAACACCUAUCCUUUAUGUGGUCAAGACCUUUGCAAUGCUCACAACAAGAAGGUGGUCUUCCUCCAUUUCCACGAUCCCUUCUUCUGCCAUGAUAUCCUCCUAGAGAUCUCCCUUCAAAGUUUGUAUUCGCAGGUUUUUUAUUUAUUUCAGUUUUCUCUUUAACGACAGUUAUAACAUAUUUCUCACUACUCCUAGCUUCACUUUUUACUUUAACAUUCAUCACUCUUUUCCUAGUUUCUUCGUGUAAUAUUGUAGAAAAACUGAUGAGAAGCUGGGCAGUUCAGAUUACAUCAAAAUUUGGAUCCUUACUUGCUCAAAUCAGGUUUGAGAGCAACAAGAAAUUGAAAGAUCUUAUCCUGAUAAGCUCUCUUUUGAAUAGUGAAAAUAUCACUAGUAGCAAGGCAAUAUGUAGAUAAUUCAUCUCACAUAGGUUUUAAAAUACCCAACAAUUCAGUAGCGGUCUUAUUCUCUUGCUUGGUUUGGUAUAUCUCUUGUUUUAAUUCAAAUAUUCGAGUGAUAUUGUUUUGUUGUCCAUAAACUUCUUUUAUGGAAUCCCAUAGAUCCUUAGCAUUCUUGGCAUGAGUAAAUAUCUUUGUAAUCUUAGGAUCCAUUGAGUUUAAUAUCCAUGACAUUGUAAGUUGAUCAUCUAUUUCCCAUUCUUCGUACUCAGGGUCAUCACUACUCGGAGCCUUUUUCUUAUCGUUCAUAUGCUCAAGUUUUGAUUGACCCAGACAACCAAGAGCAAGAGAGACGGCUCUGGCCUAGAAUAAAUAAUUUAAACCAUUGAAGAGUGCCGAAGUUAAUUUCAUAGAGGUGUUACUUUCGGAUUCAUGCACCACAGUUUAACAGGUUCUGCUUUAUUCUUUUCAGCCAUGAUAUGAAAAAGAAACAAAUAAAGUGUGAAUAGCCACAUACCAGUCAAAAAUGACAACCGUUUUUUAAGAGAAAACUACAAAAAAACAAGCUUCUGACUGAAGUCACCGAAAUGGAGCUUCACAUGCUGAACGUACCAACAAUAACAAAAAGAGAUCAACGAGAUAGAGAGUUCAAAGUUCUGCACCCCACUUUCACCCCUACGUAGAAUCACAACGGACUCAACUUGGGAAAAAGAAGAAGAGGAAAUCAGGUUUGCAACACCAUGAAGAACUUGCACCAUUGUCAAAGGGGUUUGCACCAGGUUUGCAUCAGGGAGUUGUGCUUUUGCACAGAAAAAAGCUUGCACCAAGGAUUUGUCUUUUGCACAAUAAAAAACAUUGCACCAAGGACUUGUCUUUUGCGCAGUAAAAAACUUGAAAAAAUCUUGCAUCGCCAAAAGGCAACGCAAACAGCAGAUAGCAAAAACGACAAAUCAGUUGUUCUAAAACAACUCAGAAAGGUAGGCACUGCACACAAUGAAAAGUGUUUUACAGAGAGUCGAAAAUAUGACUCAACAAAAGAUCUCAGAUUGGGUUCAUAAUUUAACAGUAGGUCUUAAAAAAUCUUAUGCUCUGAUACCAUGUUAGAAAAUAGAACUAAAAAAAAGAUAGACACAUAUCAAUAGAGACAUAUACGUGAUUCGGUUGUUCAGUCUACAUCCACGAAAGAGGAACCACCAUAUUUUCAUUCAUAGGAUUACAAUAAUUCCUCAUCCUGAUACAGGAUAAACAUGAGUAAAAAAAAAAAUCCCAUGAUACAAGCCUAAAAUAAUGAAGGAUCCUGUAAAUAGGGUAAUUAUGGCACAACUGGAUAAGGAAAGAAUCAAAGGCACCGAUGAAGCGUAGCUGUCAUGGCUGGCAUGGCUGAUAUCCUUCCGCAAUAUUCUCUACAAUAAUAGAGCUUGGGAAACAUGAGUGGGGCUAAAUUACUUAAAUGCAUCUACUUAUUCAGAGCUCCCAUUCAUUUUUAAAGGCGAUUCAAACAUUUUUUAAUAUAUUGUUUAAGGAAAUACUGAGUGAUAUGAAGUUCGUAAAGCAACCCUCUCAUUGUAAAAUGGAACGACAUCACCAAAUUAAUCUAAUCUUUCCUUUCUUUAAAAGGGAUAGAUUUUGGUGUUCCAGGGUGCUCAUAAACCUUCUAUGAGUUUUUCUUUUAAGGUUAUUGGUUAACAUGAGUACCUCUGCGACAUGCAAAUACGUUCUGCCACUGCCUCAACAUGGAGGAAUUUUUUUUGGGUGAAAUUAUUCAUGGAUGCUUGAGGAUUCAAUAACUACCCUUUGCAAUUCAUUUCUAUUAUAGAAAAAUAUAUUUGUAGUUCCUAAAAUUAGCCGACCCUAAAUAAUAGGAAAAAUACUUUGAUGUUAAAAUAGUGUAGAAUCGAAUGCUCCAAGGUCCAUUGUAAUAAACGACCAAAUUAUGGCAUUCAAAGAUAAUGCAUAUAUUGAACUGCAAAUCAUCUCUUUUCUCCAUUCAUAUGGUCUACAUGAGAAAGCAAAUUAGAUUUAGAAAAAAUACCACCAUACACCCUAAUUCGGUGUACCAUUUCCCAUUAGACCAAUAAAUUUUAAAACUUUCCAACAACAUAAAAUUUUCACAAAAGAUAUAUUCUAACCGCCUAAAUCCAGUUGUCAUUCUUUUAUCAUACUUUUUUGUCCCAAACAAUAUAAAAAAAUACGACUCUCUUUCUCUCUGUUUUAUUACCGUCUUUUUUUCUUUUCUCUUUCUCUCUCCCUGUCUCUCAUAAUCCCUCUCUCUAGCUUUCUCGUACUCUCACCUCUCUCCCCUAAAAGUGGCCCUCUCUCUCUUCUCUUCUCUAAACCCUCUCCUCUCUCGCAUCUCUUCUUAACCUUUUCCCUCUCUCUCGCCUCUCUCCUCCAAACCCUCUUUCUCUCUCUCUUACCUCUCACCCCAACCCCUCGUUCUCUUUCUCUUGACUUUCUCCCCCAAACUCUUUCUCUCUCUCGCUCUCUCUCUUGCCUCUCUUCUCUCUUCAAACUACAGGAGAAAGAUCAGGUCUCUCUCGUUGGCUCCUCAUUGCUUCAAAUUAUUCAGCCCUCAUUUUAAGUUCCAUCUCUACAAGCAUGCUUUCAUGGUUUACUUCAUGCAUGGUGACCCAAGUAGAUAGCUCUCAACUUGGGUGGAAUCAAUUGACAUUCCCUUACUCCUUAUAUCCAUAUGUCUCUCUCUCCUCAUUGGCUAAUCUCCGAGGUUUUUCUCUCUCUUCCCAUCAAAACUCCACUAUGCCUGCUUUGCUCUUGGACUUCAUAUGCAUUAGUAAUGGAGAUGGUAUUGAUUAUGAGCAUUUUGGCAACUCUAUUCACCAUAAUUGGGAUGGUUGGUGAUGAUGCUUCUAGAGGGAUGUGAGAGGAUGCAAAGGGUAAGUUCCGAUUAGGGCGAUUAAGUUACGUUUUGAUGGUGGCUGUAGUGCGAUUUCAUGACAAUUUUGCUUUAUGGCCAUCAUUGGCCUCAUAUUUCUUACUACUUUCAUGUGUGGGAUUUGCAUGAAUGCUUUGCUGCCCCUGAUGGGGGGAACAGGUUUGGGGGAGGGGGGGGAAGAGAGAGAGAGAGAGGGUUUGGGGAAGAGGUAUGUGAGAGAGAGAGGGAGAGGGUUUCGGGAAGAGAGGAGAGAGAGAGAGUGUGUGUGUUGGGAGUUGCCAAAGUUUUCAAAUUGAAAUUCAAAUCUUGAAUUUCAGAUCUUCUAUUGUUGUAUAUUCUAAUUGAAUAGGAUAAGCAUUGUACAUUUUCUAUUUUUAUUAGAUAGAUCCCUAUAAUCAAGGGAUUGCAACCUCUUGUAUUCUCUUGUAUUCUCUACAAAUACCCUACAUAUGGGUAAUAUAAAAGACAAAGAAUGCUUCCAUUCAAAUUGCUUUAGAACUUGACAUGGUAUCAGAGUGUUUACUUUUUCUAUAUACUGAUUCUAUCACUCUUAUCUUGAUGUAAAGCUUUGCUAGCAACCUUUACCAUUGGUUAAUCGUAGAGCACCUAAUGAUUCGGAGGUUUUCUCAUAUUUUUCGUACUGAGGUUGAUCUUUCUUGAUAGCUUUUGCAUGCUUCUUUUUAAUCGCUUUUGCUUGCAUUCAUUAGUGGUUACAAAUCAUAUUUUCUUGGGUGCUCUGUUUGUUUGUGUUUUUGCUUGUGCAAUUUUUUUUCUACCUUCUCAAUAGAAAGCUUGCAUCUCUUUCUCCCUACCUUUGCCUAUCGAUGUUUGCAUCUUUUUUUAUCUCAUGUGCAAAUAUUGAAAACUCUCUCUCUAAGUAACAACCUUUACUAGUUUACCUAUCAAAUUGUUCUCUCUUACUGAUUUUAGAAAGUUUGCCUCUAUCCUUCUCUAUCUUUACAUGUCUAAUUGAUUUUUGGCCAGAUUUUUGUUUCUUCUCACUGUUUGAUGUAAAAAUUUCCUAUGAUUUUUUGGCAUUUUUUAUUUUUCAGCAAUUGCUGCGUUUCAUUUUUAUGCUGGGUUUUGGUCAGAGGUUUUGUUCCCUCACUACUGUUUUGGUCUAGCAUGAUAUCACACGCCCUACAAACUUCAAAGACACCGAGCACUUCCUCUUUCUUCAAAGUUUUGUGAGCUAUGAAUGAUAACAACACUACCAUGGAUUCUUCGUUUGAAAACCAAACUCCUUAUGGUACCGAUUUUACUAGUAUUCAAUCCCCUUAUUUUUUACAUCAUUCACGACAAUCCAAGGACUAUUCUUGUUUCGCAUCCUCUCACAGGGGUAGGAAAAAUUUAUUCUACUUAGGCUCGUGCCAUGCGCAUGGCCCUAAGUGCCAAAAAUAAGCUAGCCUUUAUUGAUGGAGCUCAAUCUAAACUAGAGUCUUCUUCUCCAUCUUUUCCUUUAUGGGAGAGAUGUAGUGUCUUGAAAUUGUCUUGGUUUCUUAAUGCCUUGUCAAAAUAUCUCGCAAAAAGUGUUGUGUUUGCCUCUACAACACUUGGAAGUGUGGACUGAUCAGCGAGAUCAUUUUUCACCAAGCAAUGGCCCACAACUUUACUAAAUCAAGAAAUUUUUAGCCACCUUCCAACAAAAGUAAUUCUCAGUUGCCUCUUACUUCACACAAUUAAAGAACAAAUGGGAUUAGCUAGCUUCUCUCCCUUCUUCUACCCCAGGCACUUAUAAAUCGUAAUAAUUAUAUACAACAAUAAUGACUUCUUCAAUUUUUGAUGGGUCUCAAUGAGUUCUAGGUCGUGGUGCAUAGUGACAUUUUACUCAUGGAUCCACUACCAAUUGUUGCCAAAGCCUACUCCCUUGUUCUUCAAGAAGAACGACACCGUAAGAUCAAUUUACAUAUCCCUACACUAAAAGCUACAACCUUUACUAUGAUUCAGUCUCAUCCAUUUGCAAAACCUACUGCAAACUAUAAUACUACCCAAAAAACCUCCAAGACUGGUACACGCCCCUUGCUUCAUUGUGAUUAUUGUCACAAAGAUGGUCACAUGACGGAUCGAUGUUUCAAACUCGUGGGCUAUCCAAAAUGCCAAAACAUGCCUUGUGCCUGCAAUGUUGUAUCCAUUGCGGUUCAUUCAAGAAAGAGUGUCAGAAACUCAAGAAAUAGUAGAAUGAGAACAAUGCCAAGGAUGAUGGCAGGCAAACCGGUACAUUGACCACAGAGUUGGCAUGGUUGAAAACUAUGGUGAUAGGUACUUUAAUAUUGCAUCAAGUUCAUGCAACUCUGACUGUGUUGUAGAUACUGCAUCAUUAUUUCAUGUUACUUUACAUAUAUGUUAUUUUUCUUCUUAUAGAGCAGAAGACUUUGACUUUGUAAAGAUAAGGAACAAUGGUUUCUCAAAGAUUGUGGGUAAGAGAGAUAGAUGAAUAUAGUGCAACAAGAUGUCAGACAUUUAUCAAAUAACCAUUUGAACCUCAUCUCAGGAGGGUGUUUAGAUGAUGAAGUGUAUCAUUCAAUAUUCUGUAAGGGAUACUAGAAGCCAAUGAAGGGAUCUCUUAUCACGGUGAAGGGCAAGAAGUGUUGUUCACUCUACAUAUCAGAGGUGCAAAUCUCUAAUGACAAAAUUAAUACUGCCAUGGAGAACCCUCUCUAGACCUAUGGCACAAGCAUCUUAGCUAAGAAGCAUAUCAUUCCCAAUGUCAAGAAUCCAUCUCUGAUUCCAUGUGACCAUUGUUUGUGAGAGAAACAACAUAGAGUCUCUUUCUCUAGUAAGAGCUCUAAAGAUAAGAAAAUAAUAGAUCUAAUGUAUUCAAAUGUGUGUGGCCCCAUGGAUAUGAAGUUGCUUGGUGGUACAUAAUACUUUGUCACCUUUAUCAGUAAUGCUUCAAGUAAGGGGUGGGUGAACUUAGUGAAAUCAAAAGAUCAGGUGUUUGAUAUCUUUUAGAAUUUCCAUGCUAAGGUGGAAAUGGAGAUAGGCAAGCUUUUGAAAUGUUUCGGAUCAGACAAUGGUGGGGGGUUACACCUUAAAUGCUUUCAAAAGUUAAUAUGUCAAGUGUGGUACAAGGCAAGAAAAGAUAGUGCCAUAUACGCCUAGCAUAAUGGUGUAGCGGAGAGAAUGAAUUACACCGUUAUGGAAGGAGUUAGGAGCAUGCUAUCCACCACCAAGUUACCAAGCUAUAUUAGGGUGAAGCGGUCCUUACAACAUGCAACCUAAUAAAUAAAUUCCUAUCAUUUUCUUUUGGAUGGUGAGAUCCCAGGUAGAGUUUGGACCGAAAAAGAAAUAUGUUAUUCAUAUUUGAGAGCGAUCGGGUGUAAGGCAUUGAUGCACUUACCUAAUGAAUAAAUAUUCAAGUUGGAUGAGAAAGUACUCCUAUGUAUCUUUUUAGGGUACCUAGAUGAAGAGUCUGACUACAUCCUAUGAGAUCCUGAGAAUAGGAAGGUGAACAUGAGUAGGGGUGUGGUCUUUCAAAAAGAUCUUGUCAUUGAAGAUGUGAAUAAGUCAAAAAAGGCAUGAAUCUUAAUAAUUCAGAACCGGUCAUAGUUCCUCUUACUGUAGUACAUGAAGAAAGGGGAGAAAUGCAAUAAGAAGAUGGGUGGUUCUAAGAGUUUGACAUGCUAGUUCCAAGUGAUGUGGAGCAGUGGGAGCAGCUUGUUCAAGAACUGCCACCUACAGUUGAACUAAGAAGGUCUUCUAGGAGACAUAAACCCUCUGUCAGAUACCCUGCAUCAAAGUAUAUCCUAUAAAUUGAAGGGGUAAACCAAAAAGCAAUUAGGAAGCUUAAGCUGAUGAACACAAAGAGAAGUUGGUUAAAUUAAUGAAAGAGGAGAUGAAAUCCUUAUAAGAACCACACCUAUGAAAUUGUAAAGUUGUCUAAAGGUAAGAAGGCAUUGAAGAAUAAGUGGGUCUCUGGCUGAAGACUGAAAAAACAAGCUUACAACCAAGGUAGAGGUCUAGGUUGGUUGUGAAAGGCUUCAAGCAAAAGAAGGGCAUCGAUUUUGAUGAACUCAUUUCUCACGUGGUGAAAAUGUCAUCAAUUUACAUGGUGUUAAGCCUGGUUGCAAGCUUGAAUCUUGAGAUAUAGCAGCUUAAGACUGUCUUUCUCCAUGGUGAUUUGAAGGAAGAGAUAUAUACGGGGAAACUAGAAGGAUUUAAGUUAAAAAGAAUGAAGCGGAUGGUUUACAAGCAGAAGAAAAGCCUAUACAGGUAGAAACAGGCCCCAUGGUAGCAGUACAAGAAGUUUGAUUCCUUUAUGGGGAGUCAUAGGUAUAAGAGGAUAGCCUCAAACCAUUAUGUGGUCAUCAAGAAGUUCUCUAAUGGAAACUAUAAUAUUUACCUUAUGUUGAUGAAAUGUUGAUUGCCAGUCCGGACAUCAGCAAGAUUGACAGGUUGAAUGAAGAGUUGAGUAAUACCUUUACCAUGUAUAAACAAGGCAAAACAUAUCGGUUCCCCACUUGGAAGCCACUUCAAGUUAAGUGCCCAGUAGAGCACUUCAAAUGAUAAUGAGAAUGAGAAAAUGCAAAAUGUUCCCUUCGUGUCGGUUGUAGGAAGUUUGAUGUAUGUCAUAGUAUGUACGAAGCCUGAUAUUGAACACACAAUUGGUGUGGUGACAAGAUUUAUCACUAAUCUUGGUAAGGAACAUUGAGCAACAGUUAAGCAGAUAUUCAAAUAUCUCAGAGAAAAAUCCAAAGUAUAUUUGAUCAUGGGGGAGGUAAACUUGUGUUACCAGGGUACUCAGAUACAUAUAUCUCCAGGAAGUCAACCUUGGGAUACCUAUUUAAUUUUACAAAGGGAGCUAUUUCAUGGCAAUCUAAGAGGUAGAAGUGUGUGGCUCUUUUGAUCACAGAGGCAGAGUAUAUUGCAAUUACAUAAUUUUGCAAGUAGAUUAUAUGGAUGAAGAGAUUCCUUCAAGAGUUGGCUUGAAACAUGUCACGUGUAUCGUCCACUAUGACAAUCAAAGUGAUAUUCAUUUGGGCGAGAAUGUUAGCUUCCAUUCUAAAAUGAAGCACAUUGGUGUGCGUUAUAAUUGAAUUUGGUAUGCCUUGAAGAAAUAGAAGUUAUUGCAAUUAAAUAAAAUUCUCCAGAUAUAAUGACAAAAACCUCGGCCAGAGACAUGCAAGACUUAUGUAGAUUGCAUGGGGGCAAUCUAAGCACCUUGUUAUCAACAAAUGAGAUCCGCCUUCAUGGGACAUGAGAGAGGGAUUAUUAGCGUGUCUUGUCCCAUGUGCAAAGGACCCUAAGGUCAAUACCCCAAUAGAGUGGGAUUUAUGGGAAUAACACAAUGACUUGCAUCGUUUUUAAAAAAAAUGUUAAAGGAAAUUUCAUUGAGAGAAUGAGAAAUACAAAAACAUGUAGCAUAUUUAAAAAAAAAAAACGUUAAAGGUAAUUUCAUUGAGAGAAUGAGAAAUUACAAAGAAAUGAACCAAAAAGGGAAAAUUAAUAAUAAAAAAUAAAAAUAUAAGAACAUAGAAGAAGAAGGAAAGUGAGGACAGGAGAGAAAGAAAUAGAGGGAGGGAGAAAAGAAGCACUAAGAAGACCCUAGUUUCGCAAGAGCAUCAACAUCGCCAUUUCUUUCUCUAUUGAUGUAACUGAAGCGGACCUCUUAGGCCAAUAUUUCCAUGCAGAUUUCAUCCAAAAUUGGGGACCAUUGCCAAGGAAUUGAGGACGGGUGCGAACAUCACUUGAUCACAUUAGCCAAAUCACCCUCAAUAAUGAUAUGAUUAUGAUGACUCCUGAGCCGAGAGACCCCUUCCUUGACUGCCGUUAAUUCAGCCUCAUUAAUGUCACCACAGGCCAAUUCCCCUAAGAACGAAAAGCUAAUGUUCCCAUCACGGUUUCUUAGAUUACCACCAAAGCCAGCUUUAUGAGUUUCAUGUCUAACACGACCAUUGGAGUUUAACUUCAACCACCCCAGUGGGGGGAGGUAGCCAGAGCGAAAGCUUGAUAACUCUAUGUUGCCGAUGAUUGAGAAGGUCUACAAAAUUGGUGAAGAAGGAUUCUUUGGGGUAGUAUUUGAGACAUAGACAAGCCUAGGCCCAAAGAAUAGUGAGUUUCAUAAUUUUCUUAUGGAGAUUAUCCUUAUCAUUAGAAACACCAUAACAAAUUCACCGAUUUCUCUUUCCAUAAAGACCACCAAAGCACAAUUGCACAAAGAAUGCACCAAAGGUGGAUCCCAACUUUGGAGAAAGAGGGAUUGAGUACAUAAGCGAAGAAACCUUGAAUAUUUCUUGGCAUGGUCCAUCAUUAAUUGGAGAUUGUAGAAACCCAAUUCCAGAAAAAGGUAGCAAAUGGACAUUGAAGAAAUAAAUGAUGACAAUCCUCAGUUGCUAGAUUACAAAGAAAGAAUAUAUUAACCAGUAUCAUUCAUUUUUUUCUUUAGCUGGUCUCCUGUAACACCCUACCUUGUUCCAGCAACCAUAAGAAAGCUUUGACCCUUUUAGGGGCCUUAAUCAUCCAAACCUUAGUAUAUUUGUUGCUCAUAUCAAAGAUCCUAUCAUUACUAACUUCCUGGUACAAUGACUUAACCAAGAAACUACCACUAGGUGUAAGAUUCCAAUCUAAGGAGUCCUCUCUGAAAGGGAAAAAACGUAAUGAAGUAAAUUGUUGCAUCAAUGCUAGAAAUUGUCUUUCUGUGGCCUCAUCAAUCCUUCUAACCUUAAUAUUAACCUUACAUGAACAGUUAAGACGUUCACCUUCAACCAUCUCCGAGAUCGUCGCAUGUUUGGCAUCAGCCCAAUGAAAAACUUCAAAAAAUAGAAUCUUUAAAGGAACAUCUCCUAGCUGUUUCCCAAACCAAAAUUUUGUUUUGUCUCCAAUCCCCACUAUCACCCUACUGCACACAAGAAAAGAGAUCUAACUAAUUUGAUCCCUUUCCAUAUCAUAGAAAGCAGAUCGAUUGCUAGUGAGUUUUUUGGGAUAAAAACCAAACAUUUCAGUGCCAUACUUAGCAAAAACAACCUCCUGUCAUUGAAGACGUGGUUCCAAAUACAAUUUCCACCACCACUUCGUGAGAAAGGCAUCAUUCGUAUGCCUAAGUCUUUAGAUACCUAAACCUCCCUUAGCCUUAGGUGUGCAUACUUUAUCUCAUCAAACUAGAUUGUGCUUUUUAGACAUAGAUGGACUACUCCAUAGAAAAUUUCUCGUCAAUGAUUCCAACUUCUUGAGCAUCGAGACAAGUGCCCUGAAAAUGGACAUAAAAUAAAUAUGAGUAUUGGGAAGAGUUGAAUUAAUGAGGGUAACUCUAUCACCAAGAGAUAGGCGCUUGCUCUUCUGCUCAUCAAGCUUUUAUCCAAAUCUCUUCACAAUAGGAUCUCAAGCUGAUCUAAGGUGUCUGCCAUUAGCCAAAGGGACACCAAGAUAUUGUGUAGGGAGCUCUUUUAUAUCACAUUGUAACCAAGCGGCCCAUCUCUCUAGAUCUAUAAGGGCACAUUAAUCUCAACAAGUUUUGAUUUAUGAAGAUUGACUUUCGCACCAAAGAUCAACUCAUAGCACUUAAGAAAAAACCAGAUGUUUUUCACUUGAUACAGAGAAGCCAAAUUAAGUAGAAGAGUAUCAUUUGCAUAUUGCAAAUGAGUAAAAGGAACCUCACAACCAUGAAUUCUCAAGCCAUCAAAAAUACCAACCCUCGAAGCUGAAUUCAACAUAAGACUGAAGGAUUCCCCUACCGAUGUAUAAAUAAAAGAUAAUAAAGGAUUCCCUUGUCGAAAUCCCGUGGAAGCAUGGAAGUAUCCACACACUUUGAUAAUGAGGAGCACAAAGAAAUGGGUAGAAGAUAAACAACCUUUUAUCCAUUUUCUUCAAAUAAGACCAAAGCCCAUAAGUUUGAGAAUAUCAUCCAAAAAAUUCAACUCAACUCAGUCAUAAGCUUUUUCAAAAUCAAGUUUGUAUAGAAUACCCUUAGUACCUUCGAGUCUGGUGGAAUGAAUCACUUCUUGAGCAACAAGAAGACCAACCGUCGAAGCUGAAUUCAAUAUAAGUCUAAAGGAUUCCCCUACCAAAGUAUUAAGAAAAGACGGUAAAACAUUCCCUUAUCGAAGACCCCAAGAUACAUAGAAGUACCACACACUUUACCAUUGAUGAUCACAGAGAAAUGGGUUGAACAUUAACAACUUUUUAUCCAUUUUCUCCAAAUAUGACCAAAGCCUAUAAGUCUGAGAAUAUCAUCCAAAAAUUCCGUUCAACUCAAUCAUAGGCUUUUUCAAAAUCAAGUUUGCAUAGAAUACCCUUAGUGCCUUCAAGUCUGGUGGAAUAAAUCACUUCUUGAGCCACAAGAAUACUGUCAGUAAUCUGUCUUCCUUUAAUGAAAGCAGAUUGGGGUCCUUGAAUCACCAAAGAGUUGAAGUUUUUGAGUUUAUUUGCUAGAACUUUUGUGAGAAUAUUGUAACAAGAAAUCAACAAACUAAUAGAUCUGUGAUCCUGAAGUGCUUCUAAAUUCUGCUAUUUAAGAAUCAAUGAUAUGAAGGUAGAGUUAAGAGUUUAUUGAUUGUGCCAUUUGAAUGGAAUUUUGAAAAAAAAACAUAGAAAAUAGUCUUUCACAAUAUCCCAAAACUCUCGAAAGAAGGCCAUCUGGAAUCCAUCUCAUCCAGGAGCUUUGUCUCUAGGUACGAAGAACACAACAUCCUUAAUUUCUUCAAUGGCGAAGGGAGCCUCAAGAUCACAUGCUUUGUCAGAAUCUAGCAUCUUAAAAGGUACUCCCACCAAAGAAAAAGGAAGUCUAGGUUGAGAAGUGAAAGCCUUUCUACCUAUCUUCCCUAUUGCCAAGGUAUGAAAGUACUUCGUAUUAUUGUCUCCCUCUAUGGACUAACGAGAUCUCGAUCUCUGACACCAAAAGAUCUCUUGAAGUCUCAAUUAAUCAUCUAGAGAAGCCUUCAGAGUAUCUCUUUGAAUUUUCUGCUCAACAGAUAAACCCUCGUGCAAUUGGUCCUUCUUAUUCAAGUCUGAAAUUUGAUUCUCAAUAAGAGAGACUCUGACAUUGAUUGAUCCAAAUUUCGUAUGAUAGGGCAUCAUUGGAGGUGGUUAUCAAAAGACAACUCGAACGUGUGAGACAUAUGGGUUUGUUAAGAAAAGAACAAAUCCCACAUAAAAUGGAUAACUACUACAUGAGAGGGGGCAGAGAUUUUGGAGAAACAAAAUCUCAUCCCAUAUAAAAAGGAAGCUUCACGUAGAGGCCAUGGUUGUCUCCUCCCAAAGUUUUAACAAGUUCCUCUUCCUGGUAUGUACGACGUCUUUUAUAAAGAGAAAUACAAAGAGGAUUCUUUUAGUUGGAAAAAGAAGAAGAGAGAGAAAGUGAUCCUUCUCUCCAAGAGAAGAAGAAGAGAGAGAUAGAGAAGUCUGUUAGAGAGAAAAAGAGGAGCACAUUUGAGUGAGAGAGAAGAACCUCAAAGAAGGGAAAACCUAGAGAUAAAAUCCUCCAGAAGAAGUCAAAGAGCCCAAGAAAGGCAAGAAAACUGGCUUCUUUGGUGAUUUUAUAACUAUUACUUUUAAUAGUGGAUCUGAUAUCUUUUUCCUGUGGUUGUAGCCAAAAAAGGUAACCCAUGUAAAUCUCAGUAUCUGUAAGUUAUUGUUUAUUUUAUUUGUUUUAUUGCAAUUAUUUUUUUCACCCAUACACACAAAUCUGAUGUUUUUGUCCUAUAAAUUUGAAUUCCGUUGCACGCAUCUGCAUCUUGACCAGGUGAACCCAACAAUAGAGAUAGAAAGGGUGAGUUGUUGUAGUCUUUUGGAGAUGUAUUUUAAAGAGAGAGAAAUCUUAUUCUAGGGCUUGUGAGAGAACUUGAAAACCCUUGUAAUUGUCUUGCUUACAAGGUAUUUUUCUUACUAGUGAAAAAGAAAUAUUGGUACGUCAUGAAUAUAGGUAGUCGUUGAAUCAUACAAAUCAUUGUGUUUUAUUGUUUUGCCUUUCUAGUUUCCACACAAUAUUUUCCCCUUUUUAUUUUUGCCCUCGAUUUUUAUGUUCUAUAUGUAACGAGUUCAUCAUUUUACAUCAUUUCUGACAAUUCAUCUAAACUUAGUUUUCAACAAUUUAAAUAGUACUCUCCAAUUCCAUCUUAGCAAGGACAAUUAGGAGCCAUUCCCUUUUUUGGUGAACUUUUUGAGGCCAUUUGUCUCUUCCAAGACAUCCCAUAAAAUAAUGAGGCCAUUAAAAUAAAAGUUACAUGAAAAUAUGUUUAUAAAAAACAUUUCUAGAUACAAAAAAAGGAAUUUAAAGACUUUAGGCCCCUUUUGAUCUACCACCAUUUUAUGAUUAGGUUUUAUCUGAGACUUAAUUGUAUUUUGGCUAAACACGAUUUGAUUUUUGUGUGUUUGGUGUUAUCUACAAUUUGAUGGAAACAUACAAUUUAGAGGUCCCCAAUUGUAAUUGAGCUGCAAAACUACUGGGUGUUUUUGUACUUCAACAAAAUACAUUUAGAGCACAGUGCUCUUUUUUCAAGAUUAAUUACUCUCUUUUUUUUUUUUUGGAAUGGUUUAAUUACUCACCGCCAUCUCUUUGCCUCCCACCACUACCAUCACUACCAGUGUCACCAUCCUGUUGUUGCUGUCACUAUACCUAAAGCAUCACUAUUGCAGAUCACUGCUACCUCUGCCAUUGCUAUCACUGCCACUACUACCAUUCACACCAUUACUACUCACUUUGCCACCUCGACCACCUAAACCAUCACCAUUGAACAUCACUUCCUCCACUCCACCGCUACCGCCUUCAUGCAGUGCUACUACCACCACUAUAGCAAUGCCACUACCACCACUCACACCAUUCCUAUCCACCCUACCACCACGACCACCUCAACCAUCACCAUUGCACAUCACUGCCUCCAGCGCUACCGCCUUCAUGCAGUGUCACUGCCACCACCACCACUACCACUAUGUAGGAUACUAAUCUAGGUGAAAACAAUCAACACACCAUAAUUGAAAGCAAUGCAAAAUCUAGUUUAAAGCAGAGCAAUCAAACAGCGCGUCUUAAAGGAACCAUUACUUGUCAAGUUGCUAAUUUGAAUCGGGGAAAGUGCUUUGUGCGUCAAGGGACACAAUUCUACAUUUGUAUCUAUUGACGUAUCACACAUCCAUUCCCAAGAUGUAUGUGAAAAUAGAGGUAGGAAUUGGGUUGAGUUUGGAUCCAUUUGUAUCUACUGACUAGGUCCAAAUCUGGGCCCAGCCUUUGGACCCAAUGGGUCGAGUUUGGGUCCAUUUGACAUUGAUCCGAUUAGGAUGGGGUCUGAAUCUAAGUCCAGCUUAGACCUUGUCAGGUCAGAUCUAGGUCAAUGUCAACCAGACCCGAAUGGGUAUACAUUAGUAGAAAAUACAAUUAAAUUGUAAAAUAUAUAUUAUGCUUCUAUUUUUUUUAUUUAUACACUACUCGACCCAGUGGGUCAGGUCUAGUUCCGAUUGACGUGGACCCAACCCAAGUCUGGGUCAGGUCUGGUUCCAACUCAUAACUAGUAGGGUCGGGUCUAGGUCCAGGUCUGGGUUCACCCAACCUAUUCCCAACCUUAGUGAAGAAGUGUUAGUCCUACAUGAAAAUAAAAUUGAUGAUCUAAGUCUAUUCUUAAAAAAAAUCAUUUUAAAAUUUUGAAAUUUAUUUAUUUUUGAAUUCUAAUGCUCCCCAUGUUAAAAAUUAUAUAUUCCAAAAAAAAUUAAGGUCAAAGUCCAUCUCAAAAAUAGAAUAUAUAUAUAUAUAUAUAUAUAUAUAUAUAUAUAUAUAGAGAGAGAGACUAACUAACUACUACGUAGGAAGAAGUAAGAACGUAGUUACUUACUACUAGUACGACGUCGACGCGGUCCGGUCGUUUACGNNNNNNNNNNNNNNNNNNNNNNNNNNNNNNNNNNNNNNNNNNNNNNNNNNNNNNNNNNNNNNNNNNNNNNNNNNNNNNNNNNNNNNNNNNNNNNNNNNNNNNNNNNNNNNNNNNNNNNNNNNNNNNNNNNNNNNNNNNNNNNNNNNNNNNNNNNNNNNNNNNNNNNNNNNNNNNNNNNNNNNNNNNNNNNNNNNNNNNNNNNNNNNNNNNNNNNNNNNNNNNNNNNNNNNNNNNNNNNNNNNNNNNNNNNNNNNNNNNNNNNNNNNNNNNNNNNNNNNNNNNNNNNNNNNNNNNNNNNNNNNNNNNNNNNNNNNNNNNNNNNNNNNNNNNNNNNNNNNNNNNNNNNNNNNNNNNNNNNNNNNNNNNNNNNNNNNNNNNNNNNNNNNNNNNNNNNNNNNNNNNNNNNNNNNNNNNNNNNNNNNNNNNNNNNNNNNNNNNNNNNNNNNNNNNNNNNNNNNNNNNNNNNNNNNNNNNNNNNNNNNNCUUACCCUCGUGUGCCGUUGCCUCCCACCGACUAGACAUGUCUGUGUACGGGGACGGGAACUAACUAGUAGUAAUUACGUCCUAUAGGCUAUUUAAGUACUAUAUAUAUAUAUAUAUAUAGAGAGAGAGAAAGAGAGAGAGAGAGGAAAAAGUUUAUAUAAGGAUGUAACCUUAUAAUGUAGAUCUACGGUUGCCCUUCAAAAAUCCAUCGGAAAAGGUAGUUUUAAUAUUGAAAAACCCUUUGAUUGAUCAUCUCGACAUCGAGAUGUAUGACUAUGAAAAAUAAAAAGAAUUCAAGUUUCAGAAAUAAUGCAUUUUACAACAUAUUAUCAACACCGUCCAUUUUUAAAAUUUCCAUAUGUUUAUAGAUCUACUUGAUUUUAAUCAUUUUUUAAAUUUAAAAUUUUAUAAAUAGAUAUAAAAAUAGAUUUUAAGAUAAUUCUAAUAAUAUUUUACAUCAAAAAUAUGUACCUUAAUAAAAUUUGAAGGUGCACCUUACCUCUGCACAUAGCCUCUAAAUCCAACACGUUGCAAUUUGAUUUGGCUUAAUAAAAUUUGGUGCAUUACCUCUGCACAUAGACUCUAAAUCCAACACGUCGCAAUUUGAUUUGGUUUUACAUAUUUUUUUUAGGCUAUUAUUUAGAUAGAAUGAAUAUAAAUGUUAAAUUGAGCUUCUAAUACAAGGAACCUCAUGCAUGGUGUUUUAUGGACAGCUGUUCCCAUUAGAAUUUGGAAGUGUCUAAUUAUUUGGGCAAACAGAAGGCCAUCUCAUCAUUCCAAACAAAAGGAGUAAAUAAACAAUAAGCAAUCUCAUCAAAAUUCUAUAUAUUCCUUGGGGGAAUAAUAAGUCAACUCAGUAUGUGAAUAAAAACCGGACACUAAUAUGUGAAUUCAAACAUUUAUUGAUUUGCUUCUACUUAUCUAUCAUGAUAGUGAAGGGUAUUUCGUCUUGUUCCAAUCAAAAUUUUGGAUCCAUUGUUGUCUAUCCCACACGUUCCGCUAACUGGUUUCUUUAUUCAAAGCUUUAUAUCCCUCUCUCUAUCUCAGCCACGACUCUAAAAACGCAAUCAUUGUUAUAGACUGUGGAACAUGUUUUUAAGUUGGGCGGUUCCUGACAUGAUUGUUUCUUUCCCCAUUGAUGAGUUUUUAUAUGACUCGUUUUUCAUCCUUACCACGCGUCACGAUAGAGUGGGCACUUUUGCUUUGGUGGGGUACAUGCCACUAUAUUGGGCGUCUUGACUGUUGGGUUUAUGUGGCAUUUAAAGGCCUUAUGAGUGCUUCUAAAAUGAAAUAAUGUAAUGGAACAUGAACUCAGUGGGAGUGUGAUCCCUCAUGGACCAUUCCAUGCAAACGAUGUUUGCAGAUACCGGACUGUGUUUGACAAUCUAGGCCAGUCAGUUGGGAAAAACCCAUGUUACCUGGGCAUGAAGAGCAAACUAAAGAGGGUUCAUGGGUUAGCUCUUGAGGAGGUCGAAAAAUAUGCCCGGAUGAGUGAGUCGAGGGACUGUGUGACCGUUGUGUGUGAUGGUAGCCUACAGAGAUUGGAGUCAAAACCUCAUCCAUGUACCAUCACACGGCAUGCUAUCGAUAUAUCGUUCGGGAAAGCCAGAAAUCCACUUUUUAGGGUGAAACGUAUGCAUGUGUGAGAAAUCCCCCUAUGCGCCAUAGAGCUGUGGUCUCAUCAGGUCUUGGUGACCUAGACUUGUCUCUAGGGGAGGACCUGUAAUCCACAGACUGGGAUUGCUACCCCUUGGCUCACCAGCUAGACUUUGGUGACCCACUAUUAAGCCCCUGCUUGGACGAUGGGUCAUGGGAAAUAUUGGGGCGGUCUGAUAAAGCAAAUGUAGUUCGUAGUCCACAGUUGAAGAUAGAGUGCCUCCAUGAUUGUUGAUUCGAAUCUUAAAUCAUAAGGAUCUAUUUCCCAUCAAAUUAAUUUAAUUGUGUUAAUUUAAUUUUGGAUAUUUUAUUUAUAAUUACGUUAAUUUAAUUUUGAAUAUUUUAUUUAUAAUUUUUGGAUUUAUAAAAUUAAAGAUAUUGAUUUUACAAUAUUUUAAUAUUCACUAGAAAUUAUUUUGUUAAUUUUAAAUACAUAAAAAAAUAAUAAUCAUGGGGCCCAUUGUGCACAUGGGCCUACCAUGUUUCUAGAAGGUGGGGCCCACAUGUGCCUCCCAUAGGUGGCACGCCCCACCUCUUACUACUUUCUAUUUUAUGGAAAGUUUUAUUUUUUGGUCCACGUGACUUUAUGUUUUGGUAACUUUAAAUUGUGACAUGUGGUCAAAUUAUGGAUUGAUAUGUAUUGACCAUAUAUUAACUUAAUAUAAAAUUAGAUAUUGACUUGAUAAAUCUUUGAUAGAUUUUAUGGAAAAUAUGUGUAGAGAUGUGCUAUUUUAUAGAAUGCACAAUAUUUAGUUAAAAUUAUUUUCUAUUGAUGAAAAUUAGUUUAGGAAAAGGGGAUAAGGGUUCAUGCAUCUUCUAUAAUGUUGAUGACCCAUCUAUGGAAUGAAUGGCUCAAAUCUCUCACCCCACAAGUCACCCAGGAUCAAUGGUUCAUAUUCAAUCUCACAAGAAGAGGAAAGCCAAAGAAAACCUUAAGAAACCCUAUCUUGUUCAAAGCUUAUAAAAAAAUGAUUGUCUCUACCCAAAAAUCUCACCUUAUUCCAUAUUUCUCUCUCAUAUUCCACUUAGAAUUUCUCUUUCUCUCUUAAGAAAAUUUUCUCUCUCUCCCACAUUGUGAAAGAAUUUAAGGGUUUAGGUUAUAGAGUUCAUCUCUCUCCUAUCUUUCAACUACGGAUUUAUAACUAAGGAUUUUAGGGUUUGAGUUUAUGAUCAAAGGGGUUCCUAUUCCAUUGUGUGGCUUAACCAAAAUUUGUUUUCCAGGAUUGAGAUUGAAGGUUGAUCAUUGAUCCCGCGCCAUCGGAUGGUGGUGACUUGGUGUGGUAUGUAAUAAGGCCGGUUGAGGUAAUCUCCG